Molecule: small RNA, 811 nt
Filed under: Pongo abelii (Sumatran orangutan)
Lineage: Eukaryota; Metazoa; Chordata; Mammalia; Primates; Hominidae
Description: processed transcript
Source: RNAcentral
GUCAACGACCAUGAUCUCUGGACCCGCGCUACAGUAACAAGUUUGUCAGUGAUUUUCAAAUAAGGUGCAAAUCAAGGGAUGGCUUUGUCCCCACUUCGGCGCAGGAAAAAUAUGCCAGUCAUUGUUAUGAUGUAAACAACGGAAGGGGUGGACGGUGAGGAUAAGAAGAACCGAGAUAAUAUUUGGCCAGAGCAACGUGUAGCACAGGGAGCCAGGGCAGCAGCUGCACCUGCGAGCAGCGCAGGCAGCGGGCGCGGCCUCCGGGCGUGGUGGUGGGCGUGGCCGGGCGGCGGGGGCGUGGCCGGGCGGCGGGGCGGACGGCGCCGCCGGUUGGAAGUGGGUGGAGUUGCCCUUGGAGGCGGCACCGGACCUGGGCCCCGAGGCCCGCCGCGCCCUAUCGGGCCUGAGCCGAGUGGCCCCACAGAGCCGGCGCGCUCCCGCCUGCAGGGGGAGAGCGGACGGGGCGCGGGGACCGGCCAGGCCGCGGCGGGUGCUGUUUCUGUUUCACUUUCCUUCACUCUGAGGCCGUUGCGCUGGCGGGCGAGGAGCGGCGGCGGUGGCGGCCGCUGGACAUGGGAAAGCAGAACCACCAAAAGGAGUGAUGAUCAACGAUCUCAUGAUAAAUCUGGAUGCUAGUUCUCAUGCCUCAGGACAUCCUACUGGGAACAACACACCAGCUCCUGGGAUCAGACUUUCAUCUACUUAGGACCCCUCUUUGCCCAAACUACUAAAGCCAGUCUUCACUAGCCACGAAUGGCUACCCAAAGGAAACACUUGGUGAAAGAUUUUAAUCCUUACAUUACCUGCUAUA